RNAcentral lists this ribosomal RNA (584 nucleotides) under Dokdonella sp. StRD796. RNAcentral's name for it is "bacterial SSU rRNA". It matches the Rfam family "Bacterial small subunit ribosomal RNA", at positions 102 to 682 of the family's 1533-position model. The record is from RNAcentral. Lineage: Bacteria; Pseudomonadati; Pseudomonadota; Gammaproteobacteria; Lysobacterales; Rhodanobacteraceae.
ACGGGUGAGGAAUACAUCGGAAUCUGCCUUGUUGUGGGGGAUAACGUAGGGAAACUUACGCUAAUACCGCAUAAGACCGUAAGGUGAAAGUGGGGGACCGCAAGGCCUCACGCGACAAGAUGAGCCGAUGUCGGAUUAGCUAGUUGGUGAGGUAAUGGCUCACCAAGGCGACGAUCCGUAGCUGGUCUGAGAGGAUGAUCAGCCACACUGGAACUGAGACACGGUCCAGACUCCUACGGGAGGCAGCAGUGGGGAAUAUUGGACAAUGGGCGCAAGCCUGAUCCAGCCAUGCCGCGUGGGUGAAGAAGGCCUUCGGGUUGUAAAGCCCUUUUGUCCGGGAAGAAAUUGUACGGGUGAAUAUCCCGUGCCGAUGACGGUACCGGAAGAAUAAGCACCGGCUAACUUCGUGCCAGCAGCCGCGGUAAUACGAAGGGUGCAAGCGUUACUCGGAAUUACUGGGCGUAAAGCGUGCGUAGGCGGUUUGUUAAGUCUGUCGUGAAAGCCCUGGGCUCAACCUGGGAAUUGCGAUGGAUACUGGCAAGCUAGAGUACGGUAGAGGAUGGUGGAAUUCCCGGUGUAGCGGU